RNAcentral lists this long non-coding RNA (1198 nucleotides) under Homo sapiens (human). Its description in RNAcentral is "non-protein coding lnc-CHRNB2-4:2". The record is from RNAcentral. Lineage: Eukaryota; Metazoa; Chordata; Mammalia; Primates; Hominidae.
CUCUUUUGUUUGCGCUCUAGGAAAUUAAGGCUCAUAAAGUGACAUAAGGAGUAUUCCCUUUUUUUGUAUCCUCUGGAAGAAUUUUAAUAAGAUUGGAGUGAUUUUCCUUUCAAGCAUCAGUAGAAUUCACCAGUAAAACUGUCUGGAGCUGGGUGCAGUGGCUUACACCUAUAAUCUCAACUACUUGAGAGGCUCAAGCAGGAGGAUCACUUGAGGCAAGGAAUUCAAGACCAGACUGAGCAACAAGACUCCAUCUCCAAAAAACAAAAACCAAACAAAACAGAACAGAACAGCACAGCAAAACCAUCUCGGCUGGGUAUUUUCCUUGUGUGAAGUUUGUAAAAUACGACUUUGGUUUAUUUAAUAGUUAUGAAACUGUUCAAUUAUUUUCUUUCUCCUUGAGUCAGUUUAAUAAAAUAAUAGGUUCUAGAAUUUUUUCCAUGUCAUCUAAGGGUUUAAGCUCAUUGGCAUAGUUAUUGAUUGUAUUAUCUUCUUAAUCUCUGCUGUAUUUAUAGCUCUUUUUUCAUUUAUAAUAUUACUUGUGGUAGACUGUGUUAUUGCUCUCCAAAUAUUUGUUCCUUUUCUUAUAAGAGGACUAUACAUUUCUACCUAAUGCUAUGUGACUUGAGGUGACUCUUGUGACAGAAGAAUGCAUACCCAACCAGCUGUCAAUGGGCUUGAUCAUCGUACAUGAACAGAAACUUUAAAAGAUAUCGUACAUGUUUCUACCAGCUUUCUUGCUCUUUUCUCUCUUCCAUGAGAAUGGCAUGUGCGUGAUUGGGGACCCCAGAAUGAAGAAUACAUGUGGAGGAGAGCCCAGCAGAGUCAACAUAUAUAGCAAAUAAGAAAUAAACACAGAGAUUUGGGAUUUUGUAGUUACCAAAGCAUAUUAUAGUGAAAACUGACUGAUAAAAAUUAUUUGCCUUUAACUUCUUAUCAUUUUUUCUUAGAUAAAUCAUUGCAGAGGUUUAUUUAUUUUGUUGGUAUUUUUCAAAGAACCAACUUUGUCCUUGUUGAUUCUCCCUGUUUUCUAUUUCGUUUCUAUCUCUAGUUCUGCUCUUAUAAUUAUCCCCUUCCUUCCAUUUUCUUCGAGUUUAUUCUGUUAUUUCUUAAAGUUGUGUGUUUAGUUUAUUAAUUUUCAGCCAUGUUUUUCUUGUCUUUAAAAACAUUUAAGGCAGUAAAUUUCCUUCAAAGCACU